RNAcentral lists this ribosomal RNA (505 nucleotides) under uncultured bacterium. RNAcentral's name for it is "partial 16S ribosomal RNA". It matches the Rfam family "Bacterial small subunit ribosomal RNA", at positions 28 to 507 of the family's 1533-position model. The record is from RNAcentral.
GACGAACGCUGGCGGCGUGCCUAAUACAUGCAAGUAGAACGCACAGUUUAUACCGUAGCUUGCUACACCAUAAACUGUGAGUUGCGAACGGGUGAGUAACGCGUAGGUAACCUGCCUGGUAGCGGGGGAUAACUAUUGGAAACGAUAGCUAAUACCGCAUAAUAUUGAUUAUUGCAUGAUAAUUGAUUGAAAGAUGCUAUUGCAUCACUACCAGAUGGACCUGCGUUGUAUUAGCUAGUAGGUGAGGUAACGGCUCACCUAGGCGACGAUACAUAGCCGACCUGAGAGGUGGAUCGGCCACACUGGGACUGAGACACGGCCCAGACUCCUACGGGAGGCAGCAGUAGGGAAUCUUCGGCAAUGGACGAAAGUCUGACCGAGCAACGCCGCGUGAGUGAAGAAGGUUUUCGGAUCGUAAAGCUCUGUUGUAAGAGAAGAACGGGUGUGAGAGUGGAAAGUUCACACUGUGACGGUAUCUUACCAGAAAGGGACGGCUAACUACGUG